UAUGGUAAUUGCCAGCAGCCGCGGUAAUACGUAGGGGGCAAGCGUUAUCCGGAUUUACUGGGUGUAAAGGGAGCGUAGACGGCAAGGCAAGUCUGAUGUGAAAACCCAGGGCUUAACCCUGGGACUGCAUUGGAAACUGUCUGGCUCGAGUGCCGGAGAGGUAAGCGGAAUUCCUAGUGUAGCGGUGAAAUGCGUAGAUAUUAGGAAGAACACCAGUGGCGAAGGCGGCUUACUGGACGGUAACUGACGUUGAGGCUCGAAAGCGUGGGGAGCAAACAGG
RNAcentral lists this ribosomal RNA (280 nucleotides) under Fusicatenibacter saccharivorans. RNAcentral's name for it is "partial 16S ribosomal RNA". It matches the Rfam family "Bacterial small subunit ribosomal RNA", at positions 497 to 776 of the family's 1533-position model. The record is from RNAcentral. Lineage: Bacteria; Bacillati; Bacillota; Clostridia; Lachnospirales; Lachnospiraceae.